GAUGAAGAACGCAGCGAAAUGCGAUAAGUAAUGUGAAUUGCAGAAUUCAGUGAAUCAUCGAGUCUUUGAACGCACAUUGCGCCCCCUGGUAUUCCGGGGGGCAUGCCUGUCCGAGCGUCAUUGCCGCCCUCAAGCACGGCUUGUGUGUUGGGCCCCCGCCCCCCGGCUUCGGGGGGCGGGCCCGAAAGGCAGCGGCGACACCGCGUCCGGUCCUCGAGCGUAUGGGGCUUCGUCACCCGCUCGGUAGGCCCGGCCGGCGCCCGCCGGCGACCCCAAUCAAUCUUUCCAGGUUGACCUCGGAUCAGGUAGGGAUACCCGCUGAACUUAAGCAUAUCAAUAAGCGGAGGA
This 348-nucleotide unclassified non-coding RNA is filed under the name soil metagenome. Its description in RNAcentral is "partial contains 5.8S ribosomal RNA, internal transcribed spacer 2, and large subunit ribosomal RNA". The stretch from base 1 to 120 matches the Rfam family "5.8S ribosomal RNA", at positions 35 to 154 of the family's 154-position model. The record is from RNAcentral.